GACGAACGCUGGCGGCGUGCUUAACACAUGCAAGUCGAACGAUGAACCCGGAGCUUGCUCCGGCGGAUUAGUGGCGAACGGGUGAGUAACACGUGAGUAACCUGCCCUUGACUCUGGGAUAACUGCUAGAAAUGGUAGCUAAUACCGGAUACGACCCUCGGUGGCAUCACCAGGGGGUGGAAAGAAUUUCGGUCAAGGAUGGACUGGCGGCCUAUCAGCUAGUUGGUGAGGUAACGGCUCACCAAGGCGACGACGGGUAGCCGGCCUGAGAGGGUGACCGGCCACACUGGGACUGAGACACGGCCCAGACUCCUACGGGAGGCAGCAGUGGGGAAUAGUGCACAAUGGGCGCAAGGCGGAUGCAGCAACGCCGGGUGAGGGAUGACGGCCUUCGGGUUGUAAACCUCUUUUAGUAGGGAAGAAGCGAAAGUGACGGUACCUGCAGAAAAAGCACCGGCUAACUACGUGCCAGCCGCCGCCGUAA
This 484-nucleotide ribosomal RNA is filed under the name uncultured bacterium. RNAcentral describes it as "partial 16S ribosomal RNA". It matches the Rfam family "Bacterial small subunit ribosomal RNA", at positions 28 to 523 of the family's 1533-position model. The record is from RNAcentral.